GACCGUACCACAAACCGACACUGGUGCGCGAGAUGAGUAUUCUAAGGCGCUUGAGAGAACUCAGGAGAAGGAACUCGGCAAAUUGACACCGUAACUUCGGAAGAAGGUGUGCCUUUAGUAGGUGAACCUGUACAAGGGGAGCCCAAUGAGGUUGCAAAAAAUCGGUGGCUGCGACUGUUUAAUAAAAACACAGCACUCUGCAAACACGAAAGUGGACGUAUAGGGUGUGACGCCUGCCCGGUGCUGGAAGAUUAAAUGAUGGGGUGCAAGCUCUUGAUUGAAGUCCCAGUAAACGGCGGCCGUAACGAUAACGGUCCUAAGGUAGCGAAAUUCCUUGUCGGGUAAGUUCCGACCUGCACGAAUGGCGUAACGAUGGCCACACUGUCUCCUCCUGAGACUCAGCGAAGUUGAAAUGUUUGUGAUGAUGCAAUCUCCCCGCGGAAAGACGGAAAGACCCCAUGAACCUUUACUGUAGCUUUGUAUUGGACUUUGAACAGAUCUGUGUAGGAUAGGUGGGAGGCUUUGAAGUGUGGUCGCUAGAUCGCAUGGAGCCAACGUUGAAAUACCACCCUGGUGUGUUUGAGGUUCUAACCUAGGCCCGUAAUCCGGGUCGGGGACAGUGCAUGGUAGGCAGUUUGACUGGGGCGGUCUCCUCCCAAAGCGUAACGGAGGAGUUCGAAGGUACGCUAGGUACGGUCGGACAUCGUGCUAAUAGUGCAAUGGCAUAAGCGUGCUUAACUGCGAGACUGACAAGUCGAGCAGAUGCGAAAGCAGGACAUAGUGAUCCGGUGGUUCUGUAUGGAAGGGCCAUCGCUCAACGGAUAAAAGGUACUCUGGGGAUAACAGGCUGAUACCGCCCAAGAGUUCAUAUCGACGGCGGUGUUUGGCACCUCGAUGUCGGCUCAUCUCAUCCUGGGGCUGUAGCCGGUCCCAAGGGUAUGGCUGUUCGCCAUUUAAAGAGGUACGUGAGCUGGGUUUAAAACGUCGUGAGACAGUUUUGGUCCCUAUCUUCCGUGGGCGCUGCAGAUUUGAGGAAGCCUGCUCCUAGUACGAGAGGACCGGAGUGGACACACCUCUGGUGUAUCGGUUGUCACGCCAGUGGCAUUGCCGAGUAGCUAUGUGUGGAAGAGAUAACCGCUGAAAGCAUCUAAGCGGGAAAUUCGUUUCAAGAUGAGAUCUGCCGGGGCCUUGAGCCCCCUAAAGAGUCGUUCAAGACCAGGACGUUGAUAGGUCGGGUGUGGAAGCGCAGUAAUGCGUUAAGCUAACCGAUACUAAUUGCUCGUGCGGCUUGACCU
This 1295-nucleotide ribosomal RNA is filed under the name metagenome. RNAcentral's name for it is "bacterial LSU rRNA". It matches the Rfam family "Bacterial large subunit ribosomal RNA", at positions 1640 to 2925 of the family's 2925-position model. The record is from RNAcentral.